Molecule: ribosomal RNA, 253 nt
Filed under: uncultured bacterium
Lineage: Bacteria
Description: partial 16S ribosomal RNA
Rfam family: Bacterial small subunit ribosomal RNA
Source: RNAcentral
UACGUAGGUGGCAAGCGUUGUCCGGAAUUACUGGGUGUAAAGGGCGUGUAGGCGGGAAGGCAAGUCAGAUGUGAAAUCCCAUGGCUUAACUGUGGAGCUGCAUCUGAAACUGUUUUUCUUGAGUGUCGGAGAGGAAAGUGGAAUUCCCAGUGUAGCGGUGAAAUGCGUAGAGAUUGGGAGGAACACCAGUGGCGAAGGCGGCUUUCUGGACGAUAACUGACGCUGAGGCGCGAAAGCGUGGGGAGCAAACAGG